AUGUGGGGUCAGGAGGGCAGUAUGUGCAGUCAGGAGGGCAGCAUGUGUGGGCCAGGAUUGGAUCAUGUGAGGGUCAGGAGGGAAGCAUUUGCAGGUCAGGAGACCAGCAUGUGGGGCUCAGGAGGGCAGCAUGUGCCAGUCAGGAGGGUACCUUAUGCGGGUCAGGAGGGCAGCCCAUGUGGGCAGGAAGGGCAGCAUGUGAGGGUCAUGAGGGUAGCAUGUCAUGGUCCAAAGCGCAUGGUGGCUGCUAUCAGGAAGAAACUGGUGAUUGUUGGUGAUGGAGCUUGUGAGAAGACAUGCUUGCUCAUAGUCUUCAACAAGGACCAGUUCCAAGAGGUGUAUGUGCCUACAGUGUUUGAGAACUACGUGGCAGAUAUUGAGGUGGGUGGCAAGCAGGAGCCAGUAUAACCUGAAGAAGCAGAGAUAUGGCAAACAGGAUUGGUGCUUUUGGGUACAUGGAGUGUUCAGCAAAGACCAAAGAUGGAGGGAGGAAGGUUUUUGAAAUGGCUACAAGAGCUGCUCUGCAAGCCAGAUGUGGGAAGAAAAAAUCUGGGUGCCUUGUCUUGUGAAAACUUGCUGCAAGCACAGCCCUUAAGCAGUUAAUUUUGAAGUGCUGUUUAUUAAUCUUAGAGUAUGAUUACUGGCCUUUUUCAUUUAUCUAUAAUUUACCUAAGAUUACAAAUCAAAAGUCAUCUUGCUACCAGUAUUUAGAAGCCAACCAUGAUUAUUAAUGACGUCCAAUUUGUCUGGCCCAUCAGGGUCUUUCUGACAUUGCUCUAACACCCCUCUUCUGCACUCCCACCUGACACACCAGGCGCUAAUUCAAGGAAUUUCUUAAUAACAUCUUGCUUCUUUCUAGAAAGAGAAACAGUUGGUAACUUUUGUGAAUUAGGCUGUAACUACUUCAUAAGUAACAUGUUCUGCCUAUCUGUCAGCUGCAAGGUACUCCGGUGAGUCACUACUUCAGAGCUUUACUCCUUAACAGAUCUCAUUGGCAUAGUUCCAGGGUGGACAUCCAGUUUUUUGAAAAUGUGCUCAGCAGCCAGAAAGGCCCAAAUCCAUGCAGCUAUGGCAGAGUUACAGUUCUGUGGUUUCAUGUUAGUUACCUUACACUUAAUGGGUAAUUAGUGCCACUGGAUGUAUGUUACCAAGAAUAAAUAUAUCUACC
Nycticebus coucang (slow loris) is the source of this 1168-nucleotide RNA transcript. It is a transcript of the gene named transforming protein RhoA-like, with no coding region annotated. The transcript has 2 exons. Lineage: Eukaryota; Metazoa; Chordata; Mammalia; Primates; Lorisidae. The record is from RefSeq and is a predicted model, not a curated record.